Molecule: long non-coding RNA, 1217 nt
Organism: Lolium perenne
Lineage: Eukaryota; Viridiplantae; Streptophyta; Magnoliopsida; Poales; Poaceae
Source: RefSeq, a predicted model, not a curated record
ACCGGUUGGUCCAUGUCGGUACAGAAACAACUCACACACGCACAGAUGUGAGAUGUCUGCUCCUGAUCCCCUUUCUCUCUCUAGUGCUGCCACCCAUCGCUCAGCUUCGGAUGUUCCGCCGUCAAUCGACAGCGCCAACCACGCCCGUGUACUCUCCCGCGCUCAAAUCUGGCAGCUCUCUGGUUCUAAUCCACGCCGGCAAUCUUCACCUUUCCCGAUACCUUGAUCUCACUCCGUCCGCCAGGUACAAUUUCAGCGGCUGACCGGCUCUGCCAAUCGGCACCGUCACCGCGCCGCGGCGUGGUCCAUUCCUUGCUGAGUUCCGGAAGUUGGGCUCGAUCUCUUGAUCAGUACGUCUGGAGAGCAGAAUCGCCAGGGGGUUUUCAACAAAUUUGCUUAUUGUCAGUAAAAUGGUUACAGCACAUCGCUGAAGCUUUCUUCGGCUCCGUUUGCUUAUCGACCGCUGCCGCCUCGCCGUUCUGCUCCCUUGUGCACCGCACGACUAACACUUGUUCGCGGUGUGGCUGCGGGGCGAUGGACCUUGGCCGCUUCGGCUGUGGUCUCCUGGUGGUUUGGCACGAAUGCUGACACCCCGUACUGACUACAGUCUGAUGUUGGCCCCACCUCAUGCUUCGGCCUCCCUGUUUGGCCUCUGCCCUGACCUCCUGUUCUUUGGCUAGCAUCUCUUGCAAUGCGCUCAAGGUGGCACAUCUAUGAAGGUAGUGGCGCUUAUAAACGAAGGCACUCCAUCGGUAGCAGCGGCACUGGCUGGAUAGUGCAGCACCGGUGGGAUAGUCAUUGGCAUCGUUCUUCUCGGGUGUAGUGAGUGCGGGCUGUUCACACCUCCCUGGCGACCGCCAUUUCUAGCUUGGAGAAAUGGUAGUUGGUUGCAUCUAUCACAGAGCAGCAAGGAGCAUCACGUGGGCAGCUGGAAGGGCGGGACACCCAGUCACAUGUGGAAGGAAGUACAUGCAGUGAGUGGGUUACCGGAAGGCACCGGUCUCCAGGAGAGAGAAAGCUAGCAGCUUUUACAGUCAAGUGGGCCUGACAGGGUUGGUCAAACCGAGUUUUUUAGGGUUCUGAUGAGGCUUUUCAGGGUCUAGAAAAGCCCACCUAAAGCCUGAAUGCAUGUGCGGGCAGCAAUGAGCCACGUUGCUUGAAAUAGGUGGGACUGUAGCAAAUUCUGCUAUCUACAGUGGUUGAAGCGUUCUGGGAGC